This 253-nucleotide ribosomal RNA is filed under the name uncultured bacterium. RNAcentral's name for it is "partial 16S ribosomal RNA". It matches the Rfam family "Bacterial small subunit ribosomal RNA", at positions 524 to 776 of the family's 1533-position model. The record is from RNAcentral.
UACGAAGGGGGCUAGCGUUGUUCGGAAUUACUGGGCGUCAAGCGCACGUAGGCGGAUACUUAAGUCAGGGGUGAAAUCCCGGGGCUCAACCCCGGAACUGCCUUUGAUACUGGGUAUCUCGAGUCCGGAAGAGGUGAGUGGAAUUCCGAGUGUAGAGGUGAAAUUCGUAGAUAUUCGGAGGAACACCAGUGGCGAAGGCGGCUCACUGGUCCGGUACUGACGCUGAGGUGCGAAAGCGUGGGGAGCAAACAGG